Non-coding RNA from Paramarasmius palmivorus, 101 nucleotides. NCBI's taxonomy places the organism in Eukaryota, Fungi, Basidiomycota, Agaricomycetes, Agaricales, Marasmiaceae. The record is from the annotation of a GenBank genome assembly.
ACACCGUUGGUGAAGUGGUUAUCAUGCUUGCCUUCCAUGCGAGUAUGUAGUGAAACAAACGUCACGAGCAAGCGGCUCGGGUUCGAUUCCCGAACGGUGUA